RNAcentral lists this non-coding RNA (28 nucleotides) under Mus musculus (house mouse). The record is from RNAcentral. Lineage: Eukaryota; Metazoa; Chordata; Mammalia; Rodentia; Muridae.
UCUGAACACCAGCCCCAGGAGACCAUUC